CGGAUUAUUUUUCUACUCGAUUAAAAAUAAUUAAUUUUAAUUUGUCACGUCGAUUGUGACAUUUUAUUUAACAUCAGUGGGCGUUAUAUCCGCGUAAACACCUUGACUAGAUUAUUCUAACGGAUUCCCUCUCACUCGUGUCAAUCAUUUUUAUAAAAUGUCGUAUAUCACGUAACUUUCCAAUUCGUUUCUCCAUUUCAUCGAUGAUUUAUUUCGAGGUUAUCUAGUUCGAUCGGACUAACCGACUAAUGACAUUUCUUCUCAUCUUUUUCUGCUGCUCCUCCUCCUGCUGCUGCUGCUGCUGCUGCUGCUGCUGCUGCUGCUGCUGCUGCUGCUGCUGCUCUUAUGUUAGUAGACUUUCGAUGAAUCGAAGCAGAGAGAUUAAUCGUUUAAUCGAGUUCUUUGAAAAUUCGAUCAAAUUUUUAAGUAUUGUCGUGUUAUGCGAUAUUACUCAAAGAUAAUAAUCGUUGAACGUGCAAUGAUUUUUAUUUAGAGAACAAGAAUUACAAACUAUCAUUGAGAUCAAUGUCUAGAAUCAAAUUUUACUCGAGUGAAAUCUCGAAUGCAAAGGUUGAAUUCGCAAAUGACUGGAUUCUCUCUUUUCCAAAGAAAAUUCGAAAUCAAAUGUGAAAGAUAAUAUCAAAAUCAGAAUGAAUUUGGCGUCUAGCUCGUUAGUCCGGAAUACGUGGUUGGUUCUCGAACGUGGUCAGCAAGGAAGAAAUGUACUUCUUCCUUGGAUUGGGAGCAAACGGGUUCGAUGGACUUUCGUCGACCGAUUCUAAUGGAGAUUUAUUAUUUCUCGGGCAUCUCGUACAUUUCACGUACGUUUCUAGAUGAACUUCACUACAGAGUUAAAAGCACACCAUAACGUCCUUCGAUUAUCACGAUAGGUGAAAGUCGGAGAAUCUAGAAAGUAUCUUUCCAUCAAAAUGGGAGAGUCAUUUACUUCUUUUAAUCUUCAUGGAAAUUAGAAGAUUUGUUUUGUUCUUUUCUACAAUUAUUUUCUAAAGAAGUAUAAUUACUUUUCAGAGAGUACAAAUUUAAUACUGAAAUUAAAUGAUAGUACGAAACAAAACGAAUACACCACACACAUAAUAUUCUAUUAUACAAUUAUAUUAUAAUAGCAGUAAUAUUAGAUAAGAAAAGAAACAGAGUUGUAGUUGUGAAUAACAGUUGGAAAGAUUGAAAUGCAGUUAAACCUUUUUGUUCGAGUUAGAUGCGAGAGUAAAUGCGAGGUGUCUGCCAAAUAUUAGCACAGCCGGUGCAGCUGUCGAGCAAUACUACGUUUCUGUUUUUAGAUUUGCUAAAAAUCUCGUGCAUCAAAUGAAACAAACAUAAAUAAGUAAUAUAGUUUCGAUUCUUUUUUUGUUUUCUUUCGUAAGAUUAAAAGAUAGUACGAUAUCGAAGGAGAUUAGAUAAAUUUCGUCGUGAUAUUUUAGAAACACACGUAGAAUUUAUCUAACGUAAUAAUAAUGAUGAUAUCCGUAAACGAAAAGUAGAGCAACCUGUCCAUCCAUGCUUUUAACACCUAAACAUUAAAUGAGAAAUAAAAUCAAUCUCGUCGUAAAUGGUUUCGAAAGAGAUUAGUUCCGUUAUAAGAAACUCAUUGCAAAGAGAAAUUGAUUAAAAUGAAGCAACUAGUGAGACUACCUGCGGAGUCGUCUGAAUGUACAAAUGAGCUUUUUAUCGACUUAAGGAUAAACCCACGCGUGUGUUUUUUUCUUUUACAACGAAACGAUGAUAAUUUUGGAGGAUAUUCAAAGAUCCGGAGAUGAGAGAAACGAGUACAUUUUCUGUUUGGUUUUUUAAGUAGGCGUCUGGUUAACAGAUACAAUAAAAAUACGACGAUAUAUUCGUUAAUUAUAUCGUUAUUUGUAUAAAUAAUUUAAAAAAUGAUUAAAGGGAAUCCUAAGGAGGAACUCGUCUGCAAAUGGAUAGACGUCGAACUUGAAAGCGUUUCGCAAUAAUAAAAUAAAAUGUAAGUUAGUUAACUAAGGAAAUUUAAACGAUGGUUAUAAUCGAAGUUGUUUCUCAAGUUGAUUUGAGGUGAUCCAAAGCGAGUCACGUUUGGUCGUACCAAUAAGGGCCAUUCAUCUGGCCGCGACGUUUGAAACAAGAAACGAUGAACGAUAAUGCAAUUCUGUAGCCAAGCACUCACGUAGGUGCAACCAACUUCGAUAAUCGACUUGGUUUUGUCCUCACCUUUCAAUUGUAAUUAUCUAGGAUUUGUUUUAUUAUUUUGUUCGUUCACCAGUUAGUCAAUUUUAUCUUAACGAGUUUUCGUUAAUUGCAUCGCGUGCCAUUGCAAUUAGAUCGGCACGAUGAUUGUUUCAUUUUUUCAAGAUUAAUAUUAUCUAAAUAUUAUUCAUUCGCAUUGGUAAAAUGAAACACUAUCUAAUAUGUUAAUUCAUUAAUAUAAUAAACAUAAUGAAGAUGAAGGACGCAUAAUUUGUUAGAGCCCAUCCUCUAUUCAAGGUUUUUUUUAAUGACUGUAGUUUGAAAUUUAAAGACCAACAAAGCGUUCGCCAGGGUGGUAUAGAAAUUGACUAAAAGGAAGGAAAGAAGGAAGGAAGGAAGGAAGGAAGGAAGGGAAAGGGUCGUGACAUGUUACGAUUCGGCUUUAGUGAUUUGGACUACCGAUAGGAACCUCGGCUCUUUGGCAACUCGCUAAAUUUGUCGAUAGCCAACCCAUUUUUGGACAGACGACAACGAUUCGAGGUAGUAGAAGAGGACCACUUUUGCUGGAUUAGCUGUGAUAUAUGGAGCUGAAAUUGAAAUACGACCAGUUCUACUGUUUUUUUAGGAUAAUCAUGACCAUAAACACGUCUAAAAGUGGACGGACCUGAUACUCAAUGUCAAAGGUGUUGGAAUAACAAAAAUACUAAGCUUUGUUUUUUCAAAAAUAGGAAAGAACAGGAAGUACUUGAAAUGAAUUUUUGAAAAAAAAAAAAACAAACAAAGCUCUAACUAAAGAUGUUAGAUGAAUCACUCGCAUAAACGUCCAUCAGGAUAACCUCGGAAGGAUUACCAAGGAGAAAUUGUUGCUUUGAGCGAUCUCAUGCGAGAAAGAAUACGUGUACUCAUUAUAAUCCCAUCGAAGUAUUACGAGGAGGAACCAACUGAGGAUUCUUCUCUUCAUUCUUUCUUUCGUUUUAUAUCCAUAUUGUAAAGAAAGUCAUGGAUUAUUACGAUGCAUCUUAAUUUUGAAGUUAAUACACCAUGCGGCCUCGACAAACGAUCCUGACAUUGAUUGCGGACCAAGGAAAUCUACAAAGUUGAGAGAAAGUUCCUCCUUUUUUUUUUUAGAAACCUCUUUCGCGAUAUCCUAUCUUUCUUUACAUAACCACGCGGGAAAUUACAUUUCAAAAUAAAAAAAAAAAUAAAAUAAGAUUGAUGGGUCCCGAUUCUGAUAGUAUCAAAAAAAAAAAAAACAUAAAAGAAACAACAAGAUAUUGUAGAUUGUUAAAUUAGUUUAACAUAAAUCUGACAUUAAGAUCAUUUCGAUAAGAACUUAUUAGAAUAAUCAUUUGUUUUUGAACUAACGCAUACGAAGUUGUGGAUAAGAGAAAAUAUUGAAAUGAUUUUUCAUCUGUCAUCGAUGACGUUUGCAAACGUGUCAUUAAAUAUAUCUGAACAAAGACUAUCAUCAUUGGUAAUCGUUCAACGAGAGUUGAUUAUCGUUAUCGCGAUAUUUUCUUUUUCCUCGAGACGAAUCAAACGUCUUAUUAAAUGUAAGUUAAGUAAAGUUACUUUUACUACUACUACUACUACUACGUUCUUCUUCUCGAUACGAUAAGGGCUCUAAAUAAAUAAGUAUAUAUAAACUUAUCCAUGCUUUAUGAUACAACAGAGACUUGUUGGAAAACGUAUGUUUGUGUUAUGUACGAAGAAAAAUGACCAGAGAUAUAUAAUAAGCAAUAUAAAUAUUAUAAAGGGUAGAGGGGUAAGGAGUAACAUUUCUGUAUAUGAAAAGUGUCCGUCAAAAUGCAUUCAAUUAUACAAAUAUGUACGUAUGUUUUUACACUUUCAAUGUAAACAAAAAAAAAGAACCCCUUAAAAUGGUAUUUAAUGAGAACGAUAAAAUUAUGUUUAAUAAUACAUGUAAAUAAGUAUAAUUAUACACCUGUGAAUAAGAGGGGGGGGGGAGGGACAAAGAAUCACGUAGAAAGGUAGAUAAGUAGAAAUUGAUAGGAUAGGUGGUAAUAAAUAAUUAUAUUAAUUGGUAAAAUGCGAUUUUGUUUGAAGAGAACGCGCGUGUAUACAUUUGUAUAUAAAUAUACUUGUAUGUGUAUCGAGUCAAACUGGAAGGGAAUUACUUUCGAAAAGUAGCCAUUAGAGGCAAUUAGGCAUGCAUCAUAGGUUGGAGAACAGAAUGCCUUACAUGGACAGAACUUAUCCACUGUCGUAAUGGUACACGCGCUAGAAAGGGCGUUCCUUAUCGAUCUUUAACAUAUAAUAUCAAAAUAUUUAUGAAAAAACGAAGAAUAAAUAAA
This 4493-nucleotide long non-coding RNA is filed under the name Polistes dominula (European paper wasp). Its description in RNAcentral is "uncharacterized LOC107071154, transcript variant X2". The record is from RNAcentral. Lineage: Eukaryota; Metazoa; Arthropoda; Insecta; Hymenoptera; Vespidae.